GCCCUCUUAGCCUAGUCGGUAGAGCAUCCGCUUAGUACGCGGAAAGUAGCCGGUGAGAUUCCUGCAUAGGGCU
Molecule: transfer RNA, 73 nt
Filed under: Cyclospora cayetanensis
Lineage: Eukaryota; Apicomplexa; Conoidasida; Eucoccidiorida; Eimeriidae
Rfam family: tRNA
About the family: Transfer RNA (tRNA) molecules are approximately 80 nucleotides in length. Their secondary structure includes four short double-helical elements and three loops (D, anti-codon, and T loops).
Source: Rfam by way of RNAcentral